UGACGACAUUGGAGUCGCGAGGCGGCUACAGGCGGGAAGUGAAGUGAAGCGUGUUUUGGUUCAUGGUGGAGUUGUAUCAGUUGAUGGGAAGGAUUUUUGGAGAUAUUUUGUGGUGCUAGAAAUCAUUCUUCGCUAUAUGAAAAUUCUAAAAUUAACACAACAGCGUAACCAUUUGACAGUAUUAUCUGUCUUUGUGGAUUGUUCAAGGAUUACCUCAAUGGUUUUAAAGUGCCUUGGAGCAUCCUGAGGUGAUGAAAGACUAUGUACGAAUUCUGACCUUUUAUUAAUGAAAUUUGGCAUCAUGAUCAUGAAGCAAUGGAAGGUGUCCAAUAAGCUAUUCCAAAAUCAUCGGUUGAUUCUUGGCCUUCACCUGGGUUUAAGGAAAUGCAGCAAAUCUACUUCUGACUUUUCUGGAUUUACUGAAGCAUUGAUUGACCUUUGCCAGAACAGACAUUUUGUAUCUGGAGAUGAGAUUACACAAGAUAUGCUCAUUGACGGUUGUUUUAAUUAUGGACAUUUGGGAAUGGAACUUAAGCGGAAUUUGGCUACUAACUGGUGGGACUCGAUGGUGUUAUCUAGGGAACAGGUGUUUGGAGUGCAGAGUCCUCAUCAGCUGAAGGCGAAACACAAUUCUGACCACAAGUCAAUGAAACUGGUGAAUGUGGCAGCGUUACAAGUAUCAUUGGGUAACAAAGAUGCUAAUAAAGAAGGAAUUGCCUCACCAACAGAUCUAUUUAAGGAAUGCAUCGUAUUGCGACCUAAUCUCCUGCAAGGAGCAUUUCGUGAAUACACUAAAUCUUUGAACCUUGUGAACAGGAAGUUACCUUUUGGUUUGGCUGAAGUCGGGGUAUGUUAUCAGCCCAUCCCUACAAUUAAGUACACAACUGUGUGCAGUAUGAUAAGAACCUCAGAGGUUGAAUUAGCAUCAUUGGUAUGGUUUAGUUCUCCUCGGACUUCUGGACGUUGGCUAGACUACUGGGUGCGUCAGCGCUUACUGUGGUGGAGAAAAUUUGCCAGAAGUCCAUCCAGUUUUACAGCCAUCGAUUCCCAGAAUAAUGAUGGAGUUAAAGGAGCUGCACUGUACUUCACUUUUCCUUGGGGGAAGGAACCGAUUGAGACGCUGAUAAAUCUGGGAGACAAAGAUCUUUUGCGUGAACACCAGGGAAAUGAAUCAAGCUUGCAGGGCCGAGAUGGAAGGAAGACUGUUGUUCCACAUGUUCUCUCAGUCAGUGGGAAUCUGGAUCGAGGAGUGAUGGCAAUCUUAUUUGAUUCAUUGCAGUUGACUGAAAAAAUUGAUUCUAAAUUAAGAACAAGUCAGAAAAAGGUGCUAAAGCUUCAUCCUUUUCUGGCCCCAUUUAAAGUAGCUAUGGACAUGGGCAAAGGACCAACAGUUGAGUUGCGACAGGUAUGUGAGGGACUAUUCCAAGAAUUGUUGAAGAAAAAAAUUACAGUCUGGCCUGGCUACCUCGAAACUACGCAUUUGUCAUUGGAGCAGCUCUCUAUGAAGUACGAUGAGAUGGGAGUGAUUUUUACAAUUGUCGUCAGUGAGACUACAUUAGAGAAUGGUCUGGUACAACUCAGGAACCGAGAUACAGCCAUGAAAGAGAUGGUUCAUAUCUCAGAAAGGUCCUAGAAACAAAAUGAAAUGGAGUUUUCGAAAGGUAAACACUUUAUCUUGAUAGGAUCAUCGAGAAUUAUUCCCAGGUUAUAAACAGAGAAAAAUAUAAAUUCAAAAGGAGGAAGUUCUUUAUCAGCACCACAGCAGAGCUCAGUUUGAUUUCCUAUCACCUCCAUUGGACAUAUGAUGCUGCCUGGCCUGCUGAGCUCCUCCAGCAUUUUGUGUGUGUUGCUCUGGAUUCCCAGCAUCUGGUAGUCUCGUGUUUGUGGGCUGAAGGACCUGCUUCUGUGCUGUCGUCUUCCGUGACUUGAUGCGUGAUGGAUGUGGUGGAAAGGUGGACACGACUGGAGUCGGACAAUGCAAUGCAAAAGCACCAGUGCCGGGAGUCAGCCCGAGCCCACCACACGAUGCAAACGUACACCGGACACAACAGAAAAGACACAGAGCGGAUGUGCAAUGAUUGACACAACUUUAUUUGUUAAAUGGAGAUGAACUGGAGAGUGUCGCCGACAAUCCACUGAUCACAGGAGCUCUGGUUUGUGGAAUUGAGAUCUUAAAAUGCAGACACGGCCCAGUUUGUAUGGUGACAAUGCAACGAUGGACACAUCCCAUGGUACUGGGAGAUGAUUACUUUCACAGACAACACCACAAAGGCUGUGUACUAGUUAGAGGGAGAUUCACACUCACGGCUGGGAUGUGCAUUUACUUCUAACAGUGGGGAAGGGGGAAGGGUUUGGGACCUUGACAAGUCUGAAAGUAGGUGAUGAAUCCCACCCCCAUCAUUCUUCCUACAAGUGCACUCAGCCAGCGGGCUCGGAAUGCACCCACAGCUCACCCCUCCCUCCCUCCCUCCCUCCCGUUGUGUGGGCCUCACGGUUACCCGUCACCAGCAGACUCACGGCAAAUGAGAUGCACCAGUCUAAAGCUGCCAGAUCCUAACUUCAGAGCUUGCAGCAACUUUUCUAACCUCACAAAUAACGGGAACACCACGCUGGACAGUGAAGGUGGACCCCUGACCUAUUAGUUCCUUGAACCCACUCUCUGCAUCCGGCUGUCUGGGCAUUAUAUACAGUUCCCUAACUUAUCAUGAGUCAUUAUAUAUGUUCUUAACUACCUGUGAUUCAGUUUAUAAAUAGCUUCUAGAUCACAAUGACCAUUUUGUAUGUAGCCCCCUCACCAGUGUGCAUGACCUUAGCAUUAGCUCCUGAACUACUUGUACAUCACCUUAUAAUCAGCUCCCUGACUAUCAUUAUGCCAUUAUAUAUAAUCUCCCUGUGAGCAGCCAUAUGUAGCUACUUCUGUGUAAUAUACACUUCCCCAAUUACCCUUCUGUUACUUUAUAUAUAGCUGUCUCUCAUCUGGUACAAAACUCACCACUAUGUGCGAGGGCUGCCGGUAUCACAGGGUUAGUGCAACCUCCUUACGGCACCAGUGAUCAAAGUCAACCCUGCCGUGUCCGUAAGGAGUCUGUACGUUCUCCCCUUGACCAUGUGGGUUUCCUCCGGGUGCUCCAGUUUUCUCCCACAGCCCAAAGACGUAUGGGUUAGGGGUAUUUUUAUAGCGAUACAGCAGGGAGUAACGCCACCCCAGUAGCCCCUAACCCCGAUUAAAUCUUAAUCCCGGGACAAUUUACAUUGACAAAAUAACCUACCUGGUACGUCAGUGAACUGUGGGAGGAAACCAAAGCACCCGGGGAAAUGCCACACAUUCCACAGAGACUCCUUACAGAACGGCGCCGAAAUUGAACUCCGAAAACACCCGGAGCUGUAAUAGUGUCACGCCUAAUGCUACGCUGCCGCGGUUAUUGGGUUGUGAGCAUGGUGCGUUGGCCCCGGAAGCGUGGCGACACUUGUGGGCUGCCCCCAGCACAAUCCUCGCUGAUUUGAUUUGAUGUAAGUGAUGCAUUUAGCUGUGUGUUUUGACGUAGAUGUGACAAGUAAAAUUAAUCUUUCAACUAUCUGUGCAUUACACAUCAAUAGUUCCCAAGAGCAUAAUAUGUCACCUUAUACAAAGCUCACGACUAACUAUCGUAUGGAAAACCUUAACUACCUAUGUGCCACAAUGUGUAUAACUCCACGAAUACCUCUAUAUCAUACUAUAGGCCCUCGUUACUACCCAGAUAUUGUACUCAUGGGUUCUGCAUACAGCCUACAGGUUUUCUAACUUGUAUACAGUUCAUUUCUAUUUGCACAUUCACUCUCUGUAGAAUGCUAGGCCACCCUAAAGUUUCAUUUCACUUCAGUGAAUAUUGAUCAUCAUGGAAACUGAUAUCUACGAUGCAUGGGGAAAUUCUACACAUCUUGCAAAGACUCUUUCAGAGCCGAACUCAAUGGAAGUGCUACUGGGCCGAGCACCUCGAAUGGGGGGGAGGGGAAUUCCUAUGUCUAUCCCAGGCUGAGAGAGCCAGAGGGGGACGAGCCUUGGAUGUUAGCAGAAGUUUCAUUUUUUAAAAAACCUCAGAUUAAUGCUACUCCUCCGCUUUGGAGCUUUCAAAUUGCAUAGACGUCGUAGGGUUGUAGGUGGUUUAUUGCAUCCAGGACCGGUCCAGGCCAGGGAUUGGAAGUUGGACGUCCAGCGGCUGCCAUUCUGAGAAUCCAGGGACAAGGACUGGAGGCCUGGAGGCGGCCUGUGCUGGGGUUGGAGGCCUGACUGUGUGUGUGUGGGUGGCUGGUGGGGGGAGGUGGCAAAGGGGCUUGUUUAGCUGUUGUUAUUUUGUCGGGUUGUUCUGCUGAACAAGGUGGACAUGCUGGAAUGUGUGGUGACACUUGCGGGCUGCCCCCAGCACACCUUUGGGUUGUGUUAGCUGUUAAUGCAAACAACGCAUUUCACUGGACGUUUCCGUGUACACGUGAUAAAUAACUCUGAAUCUGACCGUAAGGAAAGCCAAGGCACUGGCACUGGUGGGGGGGGGCAAGGGUGGGGGCUGCUGCAGGAGAGGGCAGCUGGGGUUAGAUUGUGCACAAUGUCAAAGGUAUGGGGCCGUGGUGUGUUGGGGAGGUGGGAUGGAGUUUUGGCUUUCAUCAAUCCAAAUGUGAAUGCAUUGUUGAAUCCAAUACCUAUGGGUGUUUGGAUAACUGAGUCCUUGCACAUCACCGAUGUAAGGAGCAACUUGUUCACACAGAGGGAGGUGAGCAGAUGGAACGAGCUGCCCGAGGAAAUGGUUGAGGCAGGGACAGUAUUAACACUAGAAAGACAUUUGGGCAGGUACAUGGACAGGAAAGAUUUAGAGGGAUCUGGGCCAAAUGCAGCCAAAUAGGACUAGACCAGCCGGGUAUCUUGGUCAGUAUGGAUGAGUUAGGCUGAAUGGCUUGUUUCUGUGCAGCCUGAUUCUAAAUGCUGCCCAAGCCCCUCCCUUCAUGCUUCCUGGAGAUGAGAGCCUGGACCAUGAGGCAAGGGGAUGGAGCUGGAGAUGAGAGCCUGGACCAUGAGGGAUGGAGCUGGAGCUGGAGAUGAGAGUCUG
RNA transcript from Hypanus sabinus (Atlantic stingray), 5078 nucleotides. It is a transcript of the gene named polymerase (DNA directed), gamma 2, accessory subunit, with no coding region annotated. Lineage: Eukaryota; Metazoa; Chordata; Chondrichthyes; Myliobatiformes; Dasyatidae. The record is from RefSeq and is a predicted model, not a curated record. The transcript has 12 exons.